GCCCUGCCCCAGGAGCGCUCCAGCAGCAGGAUCCACACCUCCAGGAUCACCACUGGGCCCCCAUCAUGGAGCUGUGGAGUGGGGGAUACUGUGGGUUAUUUGUUUUUUUCCAUUAUUUCAUUCCACGGGGAUUUUUUUUUUAAAUUUCAAAGAGGCUUUGAUUUACAGGUCCGAUGUUCUGAGAAUUUCUUGCAUUCUGGACUCCAGCAGGAUACCUGCAGGAGGGGAGAGGGGUGAGACAGGAGCACACCAAGGGCUUGCACAUCACCCACAGCAGGUCAUGCACCUCUACCACUCCUGGUGCCACAGGGCAUGGACCAUUCUCAAAAGGAAUACCUUCCUCUCUUUUCCUGCUUUUCCAUGUGUCAGAGACUGGAAAGAUUGAUGCCUGGAGAGGUUUUGGGGUGCAGGGGCAGGUGGCUCCUUGUGCAGUGCCCUGCCCUCACACCCCACCCCUCUGGAGCCUGCAUCCCAGCCCUGCAGCAGUGCCAGUGAUGGGCACACAGGAGGCAACGCUCCACACCCACCCUGGAGCCCCUGAGCAGCUCCUGAGUGCCAAAGUACAGCAGCCCCACCUGGGAGAAGGGCUCAGGAAGGCCAAGGGGUAUUCAAGGCUGAACACGAGGCCAUCAUGUUUAUCCAGAUCCUCCCUCUCCUCUGUCAUCGCUGGAACCCAGGAGCUGGUAGCUAUAUGUGUGCUUUCCCAUAUAUUUUCUGUCUCUCUUUCUCCUUCUUCUUCUAAUUCCCUCUUCUUGGAAUAUUUUGAGCAACUUAACAUCAAACAGGCUUAAAAUUUGCUAAGUUGAAUGGGCCAAGUUAAUGCUGUGAGAAGUGUUUUAUGUUGAUUGAAUGUUGUACCAAACCUUUUGCCAAACUCUUGAUUUUCUGAUUUUUGUCAGUAAAGUCCUUUGUGUUGUUUUGAGAAAUA
This is a long non-coding RNA of Oenanthe melanoleuca, 928 nucleotides long. RefSeq lists it as uncharacterized. The transcript is spliced from 2 exons. The record is from RefSeq and is a predicted model, not a curated record. Lineage: Eukaryota; Metazoa; Chordata; Aves; Passeriformes; Muscicapidae.